This is a non-coding RNA of Macaca mulatta (Rhesus monkey), 4124 nucleotides long. Lineage: Eukaryota; Metazoa; Chordata; Mammalia; Primates; Cercopithecidae. The record is from RefSeq and is a predicted model, not a curated record.
CAAACCGUGAGCUAGACACAGAGUGCUGAUUGGUGCAUUUACAAUCCUCUAACUAGACAUAAAAGUUCUCCAAAUCCCCACCCGACUCAGGAGCGCAGCUGGCUUUGCUUAGUGGACCCCGCGCCAGGGUCGCCAGCGAGCCGCCCGCCAGUGCCGCGCAGUGUCUGCACUUCUCAGCCGUUUGGCGGUCGACGGGACCGGGCGCCAAGAAGCAGGGGGUGGCCUCCCUCGGGGAGGCUCGGGCCGCCUGGGAGCCCACCGCGGGAGGUGGGUGGGGGGAGGCCUACGGGCAUGGCUGGCUGCAGGUCCCGAGCCCUGCCCCGCGGGGAGGCAGUUGAGACCCAGCGAGAAUUCGAGCGCAGCGCCAGCGGGCCGGCAGUGCUGGAGGACCUGGCGCACCCUUUGCAGCUGCUGGCCCGGGUCGGGUGCCGAGCUCCUCACCGCCCCGGGCCGGCGCAGCGGCUCCAAGUGCGGGGACUCGCCGAGCCCGCGCCCACGCCAGCGGCGCGCACAGCCCCGGUUCCCGCCGCCGCCUCUCUUUCCACACGUACCCUCAAGUAGAGGGAGCCAGUUCCGGCCUUGGCCAGCUCAGAGAGGGGCUCCCACAGUGCAGCGGCAGGCUGAAGAGCUCUUCAAGCGCGGCCAGAGUGGGCGCUGAGGCCGAGGAGGCGACGAAAGCGAGGGCUGCUAGCACGUUGUCACCUCUCACUAGGACCUUCUAUGAGAUGUUGUUUCUGUCUAGGAUUGCUAUCUGCUGCUCCUCCCAACCGUCUCUUGGCUAUGCUCCAAAAUGCCGCCUCUCUCGUUCCACAUCCAAGACUGCAAGCAACAUGAGAGCCCAAAUCCCAUCUUUCAUGUUUAUUGUCCUAUGCUCAGAAUCCAGAAAGAGAUGCUGAUUUUAAAACUGAUGCUCAACGCAUACCUAGAACAACGCCUGGCACCCAGUAGACGCAACAAAAAAGUUGAAUGAAUGACAGAAAGAGCAAAUUUGCACUUAGAUUCAUGCUGUUCAAUAAAGUUAACCCAAGGCAAAAUUGUAAAAAUACAAGGAAUUUAACUUAAGUACUUUUUUUUCUUGAUAAACAAGCUUCCCUUGUUUAAUUGCUUACUAAGCACACUCUAAAUAAAGCUCAACCUUUUUGUAUCACCACCAAGGUUAAUUCACUAAUGAGUUGGUAACAACAUUGUUUCAAAUUAAAACCAUUAGCAGGAGAUGACCAUGCUUAAUCCAAAGCAUCUUAAAGAUGAUUAUGAGUUAAAUGCCUUACUCUACAAGUUUCUACGUGUGAGAAAAUGAAGCCCAGAAACAUCAACGACUCACCAGAUACCACAAAGCAAAUUCAGCUCAAAACUGGGUCUUCAGAUUCCCAACACUGCACUCCCUCCAGAAGUAACGUCGCUUACUUGGAGAGAGAGACGUCCUGGGAAGACAGGAUGAGGGUGAUAAUUUCUAAAGUUAGGCAAGCUUUCUUGAUGCUCCUUAAAUUUCAGUAGCCUCAACCCACACCUACUUCAGCGGGUUACUGUAAGAUUAACGAGUUAUCAGCUAUGAUAGCACCUGGUAAAUUAUAAACUGGAAAGCACUUGGUAAACUGUAAAGUACUUGGUAAACGGUAACCAUAAAGCCCAGUACAAAUAUUGGUGGAUUUCAGAGAACAUUGCCCUCUGACCCUGGCAAUCCCACCGUAAAAUCUUGAGCUAUUUCUUUGCAUGACAAGUCCCAGAUUGAAUCCUGUAGAAGUGUAGAGCAACUAGUAUCCUCAGUACCAAUUUGGAAGCAAUAUUUAUAGAAAUUCAAUUCAGGCUGUUUUCUGACGGUUUGCUAAACUUCCCUGGUAUAAAAAUUUAAGAGUUGAUAAACAGUUUACUAUUCUGCUGCCAGUUUAGUCCUGAGACGCUUUUUUCAUCCCCACUGCGUCCAGUUACCAAAAAAGGAAAUGUCUUCUCUGACAGAAUCAGAUAGGUAGCGGGUUUUAUAGGCAUUAGAAUGUCUUUAAUGAGGGUGAGCAUGGGGAAAUGUUUUCAAUAAUUAGAACAUUUACCGCAGGAUUCUAGAGUCUCCCCGGGGUUCAGGAGAGGAUUCUUCUCCAACAAGUCUUCCUUCAGUAUGCAUUAACUGAUAUUCUAUUGCAUAGAAUUCAUCCUCGCCAAAGGCAUGUGUGAAACAUUUAAGUAACCAAAUGAUGUCUCUGGAGUCCUGUGCCCAUAGUUUCUGAUGAUAUGUAGAGUUGCUCUCAGAGAGACACCACCACAAACCUUUGUGCCAGGAGGUUUUGGGGGAUUAAGUUAUCAGGGUGCUUUCAGGUGCAAGGAAAUGAAUACCCCAAUAAAAGUGCCUCAAACAAUUGGAUUUUUAUUAUUGUUACUGUCUCGCAGAACAAGACUAGCCAUAGGUAGGCAGUUGCUGGGUUGGGUCAGAAGCUCAGUGAUGUGAUCAAAGACACUGCUUCUUUUCAUCUUUCUGUUCUCUCAUCUUCAAAGUGAACUUGUAUUUCCCACAUAGGUCACAGGGUGGCUGCAGCAUGGGCAAGUUUUACAAUUGCAUGUGAAAAUAUCUGGAAGAAAGAAAAAAAAGAGACACGACUGGAUUCUAAAGCCAUCUUGAACUGCAAGAGGGACAGGGAAAAGUGAAGCCGUCAUCUCUGUCCCUGUCUUGGAAUUGAGCACUUCCAACAGGCAAGAAGGAUGAGCAAAACACUUGUUGGAUUGGCUGUUAUAAUAAGCCACUAUUUGCGUGUUCUGAAUACUUCACAUGUAUUAGUCCACUAGGUCCUCAUAACAAACUCUUGGGAGGGAACUCCGGGACAACAACAUAACAGCGAGCAGGUGGCAGAGCAUCACCAAGACAUAAAGAUAUGAGGAAGAGAGGGGCGCAGGGAAGGUAUCAGUCCAAAAAGGUAGUAAGAUCAUAUGAAACUAAAGAUAUGAAAUAAACACGUGAUGUAGAAGUUCCUUCGCCAUUAACUCAUUCUCCCAAACCUGAUUUGAGUUCCUUAAGAUUUAGGUAAGACAGGUCCCAUUUUCACUGACUUCCUUGGAGAGACCUAAAGAAUUUAAAGCAAUUUGCUUUAGGUCAUAUAGUUGGUAAGUGGCAGAGCCAGGACUAAGCACCAAGUUCAAAUAGCUCCAAAAACAGGUCCUACACACCUACAGUCACUGUGAGGAUUAAAUAAGCUGAUACAUGUACAGUUCUUGGCACAAUGACUGGUACAGGAGUGGUGGUUGAUGCCUUUGUUAGUUUCAUCAUUAUUACAUUUCAACAGAUCCCUCUCGUACUGGUAUCAGAAGAGAAAGACUAUGACAUUAUUGCUUCUAAGGAAGAGGUGAAGCCCUCUCACCCCCAAUAUGCCUCAAUGCCAGAAUCAGGAGGCAGAUGAGAGGUACACAGCCCCAUGAGAAGCAGUGCUUGACACAGGCUACUGUAAUAGGUGUCCAUCCAUCCAAGUCCUACUGCCCAGCACUCAGCUCAGACGGAACAAGAGGCUGCCAGACGAGAGGUAGGGAGGGUGGCACAGAUGCAACUGUCACCCUAACUGUAUUUCUCACCCUACCAUAACCUUCAUUACUGACAUGGUCAAAAAGAAAACAGAGGCUGCAGCAAUGGCAGCAGAAGCAGCAAUGAAAGCAACCAAGAGAGAAGGCAGCUGGCACUGGAGGGCCUCGUGCCAGGUUCCAGGCACAGAGGGAUUCUGGCAGUGAUUACAGCGGUAAAUAGAGCUGAUGGUUGUGCCGGGGCCCUGGGCCUACCAGGAAGGGAGCAGGGGAGAUGAGAUUCUUAUAAUUACACUGCUUUAGACUCAGCUAUCAUGGGGUUACCCACAGAGGACUCUGAUCUGUCCCCAGGCUGGGAGUUGCAGAAGCACCUGUUACAGCAGAAGUCGUUUGGCAAGCCAAACAAAACACGGAUUCAUCCAGGCCACCUGUAAAGGAAUUUGAUGCCUAACAACCUAGGCAAAGCUUCUAAUUGUCAUAAUUAAUUUGGCACCUAUUCACUGGUAGGUGCUAAACAAGUACCAUAUGGCGAAAGCCCAUUUCCUGCUAACGUGGUUUAAUCCCCCCUAUGAUUAGAGCUGCGAGAAAUUGUGUCAUUUGAAAAACUCAAGCACAAUAUUUUCCUCACAAAA